GAUGAACGCUGGCGGCGUGCUUAACACAUGCAAGUCGAACGAAGCACUUUAUUUGAUUUCCUUCGGGACUGAUUAUUUUGUGACUGAGUGGCGGACGGGUGAGUAACGCGUGGGUAACCUGCCUUGUACAGGGGGAUAACAGUUGGAAACGGCUGCUAAUACCGCAUAAGCGCCCAGCAUCUCAUGAUGCAGUGUGAAAAACUCCGGUGGUAUAAGAUGGACCAGCGUUGGAUUAGCUAGUUGGUGAGGUAACGGCCCACCAAGGCGACGAUCCAUAGCCGAGCUGAGAGGGUGACCGGCCACAUGGGGACUAAGACACGGCCCAAACUCCUACGAGAGGCAGCAGUGGAGAAUAUUGCACAAUGGGCGAAAGCCUGAUGCAGCGACGCCGCGUGAGCGAAGAAGUAUUUCGGUAUGUAAAGCUCUAUCAGCAGGGAAGAUAAUGACGGUACCUGACUAAGAAGCACCGGCUAAAUACGUG
This 481-nucleotide ribosomal RNA is filed under the name uncultured bacterium. RNAcentral describes it as "partial 16S ribosomal RNA". It matches the Rfam family "Bacterial small subunit ribosomal RNA", at positions 28 to 507 of the family's 1533-position model. The record is from RNAcentral.